Salvia splendens (bonfire salvia) is the source of this 2975-nucleotide RNA transcript. RefSeq lists it as uncharacterized. Lineage: Eukaryota; Viridiplantae; Streptophyta; Magnoliopsida; Lamiales; Lamiaceae. The transcript is spliced from 6 exons. The record is from RefSeq and is a predicted model, not a curated record.
UCGUAAAAAUCUUGGACCGCUAAACCCUAUCGUAUCUCUGUCUAUUUCCUUCCCUUCUUCUCUCCGUCAUAUCUCAAACUCACAGAGUUUCCGAUUCUAUUUAUAUAUAUCAGCAUCUCAUUCUCCAUCUCUCUCUCGGCUCAAGGACUGCCACCAUCCGCGGUUGCCGAUCGCUAUCCCGCUGCGGCGCUGCCAAUCGAUCCUCGCGGCGUGAUUCCUCCUGCCGCGCCACUGCUUUUCAGCACCUAAUCCCCCUCUCUCGGUAUUGAAUAGUAAAACAAAGGAUAUCAUAUUUCUGUUUCUCUAAAUUACUAAUUUAAAGAGAAAUUAAAAUUGUUGAUUGUUAUAAUCUGCUACUGCAUCUGUUUUUUGCUGGUAUCCCCACGAGAGAAAACAAUUCCCUGAUGCUUUGACCUGAUUUCAUUACUCUUGUGAUUUUGUCGAAAUUGCUCAACAGUUGGAUACAAUGGCUGAGGAUUUUUUGGGAGAUCUGGAAUGGUAUAAUGAAGAUGUGAGAGUACAAGUAGAUCAAGUUGGGUGGCAUGAGGCUGCAAUGAGGCUCAAUCGCAGGUGGUUGAUGGAUCUACCCUUGUCCAAAUCGGAGCAAAAGAGGAUUGACAAAUUACUGCCUCCCAAUGAUAUGAUAUUGCCUGAAUCUUUCCUUAGAAAAGAUGAUGGGGGCUUUGAAGACAUCAGGACUUGUAUCGAGAAGGCUUUUGGAACUCCUAACAGCCAAGAGGAUCCUAUUUGUGACCGAGAUGGUGUAAUAGUACUUAAUUCAAGUGAUGGUUUUCAAGAGGUAUCUUUCCUCUUGGAGGCUAUGACUAAUAAAGGCUUAUGUUCCUUUGUCAGCAUACUUACUGAGGGACUGGAUAUAUUUGAUAAGACAAAUUGGGGUGUGAUGAAUACAAUCAAAGAAUUGCUUCCGAAGGUUAUUGCUGACAAAAAUGACAUUUCCAGAUCAAAGCUGAAAAGAUGCUCACUACUAUUAAAAGACCUGACUAAUUUUCGGUGUAAUAUGACCAUGCACUUCACUGCGGAAUCCUAUUGUGUAGCUGCAUUCAAGGUACUUGACGAGCUAGAGCAUUUCCCUUCUAGAGCACUAUAUGCAAUGGUUAGGAAGCUGAAAGGUAUCAAAGGACACAUCCCUUGUCCUGUCAUACGACGUACAUACACUAGGGAUCACUUGGCCAAAGUGGUGAGGAGAGAGUUCACAAAGAUGGUAUCAAACAUUGGUGGAGUAGAUGAACCUCCUGAGGAAUUGGUUGGGGCACUUGGAGUUGCAAGCUUAACUUUGAAGCUAAUAAUGAACCGUCCAGUUAUAGGAGACUUCGGGAGAUUUUCACCAGAGAUGGUAGCAUUGCAUAAAGAUAUAGCUAAAGCUAUUCACGUAUUAAACGAACCAAAGGAUGUAGUAAACUCAUCCAAGGGAUUUCACAGCUUACUUGAAUCGAGAAAAGUGCUGAUGAGUAAAGUGCAGCCUUUGUUGGCUCCUAAGUUGAAUUCGUUUAGAGUGCAUAUGUCAAUACAGAAUAUAUUGUUUGAUUACCUUUAUGAGUGCAGUGAUAUGGAGAAUAUCCCUGGGUAUUUGAUAGAAUCUCUUGACAUAAUCAAUAAUAGACCUCAACUUAGGUCUUCCAAAAAGAGUUCCUCUAAAGUUUUAUCAUCUUCCAAAGAGUUGAUGAAAGAGGAAAUAGAAAAGGAGGUGCAACUUCUCCUAAAUAUCAGUGCUCAAGCCAAAGAAGUUGUAGCGAACUUGCUUCCAGAACAUGAAUUUGAUGAAGAAUUUGCUCGUGCAUACAUGGAGGAUUUCCAUGGAAGCGAUUCUCGUUGCGUUAUUUAUGAUGAUCCGCAAAUGGAGGAUGAUUCGCAGCAUUUUGAAUUUCAUUCUUGUAGUUCAUAUGACCAAACAGAAAGUAUUGGGGAGACAAACCCAGAAGAGUUCAAUUUACCUGUUCACAGAAGUAAAAGAAAUAAAUGCUUACCCCCGUCUCCCAAUAGUCAAUGCUUGGGGAAAGAGUUUCCAUCGGAAUGUAAAGCUGAGGAAUCAAAACCUGCUUGCUCUGAUUCCACGAAAGUGACAACUAAACCUCGUAUGUCUUUUCUGUCUCCCUCUCCUGCCAGAAAAUCAAGCCACAUUGAAUAUAAAUAUGAAGAAGCUACAAGUUGCUCUCCAGGAACAACUAACAAUGGAUUUUCUGACAUCAAAGUAGAAGAAACAGAUAUUGUUGAUCAGCAGAGCAAGUCAGUUAAUGGAUACCUUGAGCUCCAAGAAGCAUGUGAUGCUACUAGUAUUGCUGCCUAUCAUUUUGUGGGUUACAUGCUGGACACACUAGCCAAUACCGAAGGUAUAGAACUGUACAAAGAUGAUAGAUUAUAUCUACGUAGCCGUACUCCAGUCCUUGAAGAUACUGAAGAAUUUUCGGACUCUGUGGUGUCCAAGUUCUCUGAAAUGUGGAAGAAUGCGCUUGAGUUGUAGGCCUUUACAAGUCUGUCAGUCACAAAAUUGUCUCGUCUACCCAUGAGGAUACCAGGGCAUACAUAUCAUGACAUCAAAGUAAUCAAAUGACUAGCCAGAUGCCCAAGUUGCUGCUUUCAUUUUCAUUUCCUUGUCAAAUCAUGGACCAGGGUCUACUAUGGAAGCUGUGAAGUUACAAUCCUGGGAGUUUGUUAGGAUGCAAGAACCAUGGUAGAACGAUCAGAAUUCAGACAUUUGUGUAUUGCAGUACUAGUUAUUUGUAGAUUUUUACAUUUAGAUUUGCCUGAAAGCAUGUUCCAUUUGGUUAAUUGAUUGUGUUAGCUUUAGCCUUUUUCAGUACACACUAUGGCCGUCUGAUCUAACAGGAAAUCGAUUCGGUUGUACCUUGUAACUUGAUUCAGUUGUACCUUGUAAAUUUGAUGGAGCUUUGAUGUAACUUGUAACAGGAAAUGGUUUUAGCCAUUUUGAUUCAUUAUUGAACUUGCAUCAUGAUAUA